GACGUAGGGUGCGAGCGUUGUCCGGAUUUAUUGGGCGUAAAGAGCUCGUAGGCGGCUCGUCGCGUCGACCGUGAAAACUUGGGGCUUAACCCUAAGCUUGCGGUUGAUACGGGCGGGCUAGAGUUCGGUAGGGGAGACUGGAAUUCCUGGUGUAGCGGUGAAAUGCGCAGAUAUCCGGAGGAAUACCGGUGGCGAAGGCGGCAUCCUGGACCGACAUUGACGCUGAACGGCGAAAGCUAGGGGAGCAAACGGG
RNAcentral lists this ribosomal RNA (253 nucleotides) under uncultured bacterium. Its description in RNAcentral is "partial 16S ribosomal RNA". It matches the Rfam family "Bacterial small subunit ribosomal RNA", at positions 524 to 776 of the family's 1533-position model. The record is from RNAcentral.